RNAcentral lists this ribosomal RNA (375 nucleotides) under uncultured organism. Its description in RNAcentral is "partial 16S ribosomal RNA". It matches the Rfam family "Bacterial small subunit ribosomal RNA", at positions 527 to 896 of the family's 1533-position model. The record is from RNAcentral.
GUAGGGGGCAAGCGUUGUCCGGAAUUAUUGGGCGUAAAGCGCGCGCAGGCGGUCUCUUAAGUCUGAUGUGAAAGCCCACGGCUCAACCGUGGAGGGUCAUUGGAAACUGGGAGACUUGAGUGUAGGAGAGGAAAGUGGAAUUCCACGUGUAGCGGUGAAAUGCGUAGAUAUGUGGAGGAACACCAGUGGCGAAGGCGACUUUCUGGCCUACAACUGACGCUGAGGCGCGAAAGCGUGGGGAGCAAACAGGGAUUAGAUACCCUGGUAGUCCACGCUGUAAACGAUGAGUGCUAGGUGUUAGGGGGUUUCGAUGCCCCCUUAGUGCCGAAGUUAACACAUUAAGCACUCCGCCUGGGGAGUACGGCCGCAAGGCUG